UCCGCAAAAAUCAACUUCUAAAAUUCCAAUUCGAUCUUGGGCUUUCACCUAGCAUGGAUCUGAGGGUUCCGUUCGUGAUUGUCCCACUCUGUGAUUACAGACAAAACUGGUAGAUUUUAAACUACAUUCUGCAUGUAGCAAAAGACGAGAUAGAGCUUUUUUAGUGAUAGAACCAAACAAAUAUUCAUGUUUUUUUCUUUUAUCAGACUGGUUAGCCUGUGGUUGUGAAUCAAGAUGGCGGCUAUGACGUCACAUCCUCCACAAAGGGUCCCAGCAGUACUGCGCCAGCUGGUUCUCACCUCUUUCCCAGAUGCCUCAGCAGCAGCGGCAUUGGCCUUCCUUUCUUCUUCCUCCUGGUCAAGCUCUCUGAUGCUAUCUUCUAGAGCAUUAGGCCAGAAGUCUCCAUCAAAGUAGGGAAGCUCACUUGCACAUGUAAGACCAUCAUCACUUGCUUGCUUUAGGAUGUCCUAUCAAUGCACAAACAAUAUUCAAUUAACCACUAACAUUUGAAGACAAGGUAACACAAUUACAGUUGGGAGAUUAUAAAAAGGUAAGGUGAUCAGGAACAGAUUGAAGGCUUUAAAAUAUGAAGACAUAACAAUACACCCGAUAGUAUUGAUUUGCUUUUUUACUUCGAAAAAGGAACUAAAACCCAAUUAUAUUCAUUAUACCUAUCUUUUUAAGAGAUAAAUAUUCGUUUUAAUACAUAAUUCUAACCUUGUAUUCAAUGACCACUCGAUCCAUGAUAGCUUUGUCCAACAUCUUCUUAUACCAUUCAACAAGUCGUUUAUGCUUAGGAAUCUUCUGCUCAGUAGGAUGGCAAUGGAAUAUGUAGUCAUCUCCUUCGCUGGGAGGACAGGCCCAGAUGUGAGCCAUUUGAUAACUAAAAGACACAGAAAAGAAAAAUAGCAUGCAUUAGAGGCACGAAAACUAGAGAAUUUUGAAGGAAAGCACUGUUAUGGUGGGUGCAAGAAUUAAAGAGAGGACCAGAACUGGAAGAGGGAGUGGUGGAUCAAGGAAUUUAAAAGGGGGGUUCCAAAAUGGCUGCCAUCUAGAAAAAGCAGGUAACAUUGGCUUAACAAAGGGGGUUCCAAUUUUAUAUUACUGAGCAUAAAAACAUGAUUGGCUUUGUAAGAUCUAACAAAAUGGGGGUUCCAUGGCAACCACGAAACAACCCCUGGAUCUGCUACUGAGUUUAAACCUUCUGUGUUUUACUAAAUAACACAUAAAAUCAUGAUAUUUUAAUACCUUGUCUUUAUUCCAGGCUUUAGUUCUCCAACCUUGUCAACACUUGAAACAACACGUAUCGUAACUUCAGCAUUGCAGUUCUGUUUUCGUAGGAAACCUGUAACUCUUCUUUCAAUCAAAUCUCCAAGUUUUGUUUGUGGUAGCCCUUCAUUGUUGAAAACAGAUACAAAAUUGGGAUUAAAAUCACAAAGGUGAUGAUUAAACUAAAGUAAGAAAAUAAAAGCAACUUACUCUUU
Actinia tenebrosa (Australian red waratah sea anemone) is the source of this 1484-nucleotide long non-coding RNA. RefSeq lists it as uncharacterized. The record is from RefSeq and is a predicted model, not a curated record. Lineage: Eukaryota; Metazoa; Cnidaria; Anthozoa; Actiniaria; Actiniidae.